Molecule: non-coding RNA, 1349 nt
Organism: Paramuricea clavata
Lineage: Eukaryota; Metazoa; Cnidaria; Anthozoa; Malacalcyonacea; Plexauridae
Source: the annotation of a GenBank genome assembly
AAUUACAGUAAUAAUUCCUUAUUUUAAGAAUUGCGGCUUUUUUCAUUCCGGCCGGUUUUAAGGAUUUCGGCUUUUCUCAUUCCGGGUUUUAAAGAUUCCGGCUUUUCCCGUUCCGGGUUUUAAAGAUUCCGGCUUUUCUCGUUCCGGGUUUCAAAGAUUCAGGCUUUUCUCAUUCCAGGUUUUAAAGAUUCUGGCUUUUCUCAUUCCGGGUUUUAAAGAUUCCGGCUUUUUUCAUUCCGGGUUUUAAAGAUUCCAGCUUUUCUCGUUCCGGGUUUUAAAGAUUCCGGCUUUUUUCGUUCCGUUCCGUUCCUCGAUACCGUUCCGUUCCUCGAUUCCCCGUUCCUGGUUUUAAAGAUAGCCGAUCAAAAACAGGUGAGGUUGCGAGGGAAAGUCCCUCGGGAAAGCCCCUUUGGAUUUUGGAAAAUCCCUCUGGAAAAUCUCUUUGGUUUCGUUUUUUCCACAACGACAGUAAAGCCUGUUACUGCAUGCUACUUGUUUGCUUAAACCGGGUGAUGCAGUAGAGAUCAUCAUAUCGUCACAUAAAUUUGGUUCAAAUAAGAAAAUAACUAGCAGAUUAAUACAGCAAGUGAGUAACAUUUUCAUUUCAUUGCUCUAUAAUGUUAAUACAUUUCUUAAAGGUUCAUUCACAGGCGGCCCAAUCUCUGAACGUCCUAUACAUUUUGAAUAUUUAAUCUUUAUAAUAUUUCAAAAUAACAAAAUAAUUCAAAAAAUAUCAGCAGUAUAUGUAAAAAUAUAUGCAUGAUGGGAUAUAUGGGAUGCAUUCGAAAUGCAUUUGUUGUGUUUACGAGUUUAGAUGAUGCGAUUGCUUUACGUUUUCGUCGUACUUGAACGGUCGUCAGUACUGGCACUGAACGACAUGCCCAUAGGAUAUGAAUAACUACAAGGCUAGUCACUUAUCUGAUAUACUCUCCGACAUCGAGUCCAAUAUUUCUGCUCAAAAUCGUUGCAGAGUAAUAAAUUUCACAUCGCCUAAUAGUAUGAACGUGCCUCUUUCGAAAGAACAUGGUUUGUUCACCAUUAUUUUUUGGGCAAUUCUCUUGACACGUUGUACGACGAACUUUGUUUAUCCAAAAUUCAAAAUUCAAUUUUCGAAAGAAGCUAUGGUUUACCCCACGAUCGUUGCCAUAAGAGCGGUUAAGCAACCUGGCUUCCUCGUUCAAAAACACUCCAUCGGGUGGAGGGGGGUGGGAGGAGCUGGAGUGGAAUGAGGGGGGGGGAGGCUUUCAAAGCAACACGAUAAAACACGCGUUAUAAAUAAAAAUGAUUACUUUAUCAUGCCGUAUUCGACACUAAACAAGUAUUGAAUCAGUCCUAUUUUUAGAAGCGUG